This 468-nucleotide ribosomal RNA is filed under the name uncultured bacterium. RNAcentral's name for it is "partial 16S ribosomal RNA". It matches the Rfam family "Bacterial small subunit ribosomal RNA", at positions 28 to 507 of the family's 1533-position model. The record is from RNAcentral.
GACGAACGCUGGCGGCGUGCUUAACACAUGCAAGUCGAACGGAAAGGCCCUGCUUUUGUGGGUUUCUCGUUUGGCGAACGCGUGUGUAACACGUGUGUAACCUCCCCUUGACUUUCUGAUAACUUCACGAGACUCGGGCUAUUACCCGAUAUGAUCUCCUGCUGCAUGUUGUUCGUUGGUAAGUUUCGGCUGUUGGGGAUGGACUCGCUGCUUAUCAGCUUGUUGGUGGGGUAGUGGCUUACCAAGGCUUUGACGGGUAGCCGGCCUGAGAGGGUGACCGGCCACAUUGGGACUGAGAGACGGCCCAGACUCCUACGGGAGGCAGCAGUGGGGAAUAUUGCACAAUGGGCGGAAGCCUGAUGCAGCAACGCCGCGUGCGGGAUGACGGCCUUCGGGUGGUAAACCGCUUUCGCCUGUGACGAAGCGUGAGUGGCGGUAAUGGGUAAAGAAGCACCGGCUAACUACGUG